AAAAAAAAAAUUGAAACAAAGCAACCUCCCUUCUCUCCUCCUUCCCUCCUCCCUUCUCACUUCUUAUUCCUUGUAAAAUCCCAGAAACAAAGCAACCCUCAGACCCAGAAAACAGAUUUAUGCAUUCUACGAAAUGAUCCAAACAUGAUAUAUCCGAAUCAAGGAACAGAAAAAUCCAUCCAAAAUGGCCUUUGACUUCAAAAUUUACAAUACCAUCUCGUCGAAAUCUAAGUAAGCUCAAACGCCGAUUCCAAAAUCUACUAAAAAUGCAUAAUUUCUUCUUCAAAAAUCAUAUUUUGUGAAAAAAAAAUUCAUGAAUUAAAAACUGAAAAAUAAUCACAAACACACACGCACACUAAAGAUAACAUACUGAUUACCUAAACAGGCACAAAAUCGAAAACCCCAAUGCGAAAGCUUCGACAUUUCCAAGUAAAAGCUCGAGAUUUGAAGUCAACCAAACCAAACCAAGUGACUCAUUACGAAAAGCUUCUAAAUUCCAAAACCCCAUUGACCAAAACAACUAGUCUCAAAUCGUGUAAGCAUUUCCUCAAAGAAAGAACAAUCAAAACCCGCAAACGAACUUAGAACCCUAAACAUGAAGCUCCAAUGGCAGUUGUAUACAAUUAAUUCAACCAAAUUCAAGCAUUGAAAAAGCAAUUGAAUUCGAGCAACAGGAACCGUAAUUAGACUAGCUGAGAUGAAGAAAUCAGUGGCAGAAAGAUCUUCUUGCAAGGUUUGUCCAAGGAGGGCUCGGGCUCUGAUUCCGGCGAAGUAGGCGGGCUCGAGCU
This 788-nucleotide long non-coding RNA is filed under the name Malus domestica (apple). RNAcentral describes it as "long non-coding RNA (MDOM_LNC014953)". The record is from RNAcentral. Lineage: Eukaryota; Viridiplantae; Streptophyta; Magnoliopsida; Rosales; Rosaceae.